AGUGAACGCUGGCGGUAGGCCUAACACAUGCAAGUCGAACGGCAGCACAGUAAGAGCUUGCUCUUACGGGUGGCGAGUGGCGGACGGGUGAGGAAUACAUCGGAAUCUACUUUUUCGUGGGGGAUAACGUAGGGAAACUUACGCUAAUACCGCAUACGACCUACGGGUGGAAGCAGGGGAUCUUCGGACCUUGCGCGAUUGAAUGAGCCGAUGUCGGAGUAGCUAGUUGGCGGGGUAAAGGCCCACUAAGGCGACGAUCCGUAGCUGGUCUGAGAGGAUGAUCAGCCACACUGGAACGGGGACACGGUCAAGACUCCUACGGGACGCAGCAGUGGGGAAUAUUGGACAAUGGGCGCAAGCAUGAUACAGCCAUACCGCGUGGGUGAAGAAGGCCUUCGGGUUGUAAAGCCCUUUUGUUGGGAAAGAAAAGCAGCAGGUUAAUACCCCGCUGUUCUGACGGUACCCAAAGAAUAAGCACCGGCUAACUUCGUG
RNAcentral lists this ribosomal RNA (492 nucleotides) under uncultured bacterium. Its description in RNAcentral is "partial 16S ribosomal RNA". It matches the Rfam family "Bacterial small subunit ribosomal RNA", at positions 29 to 507 of the family's 1533-position model. The record is from RNAcentral.